This is a long non-coding RNA of Drosophila elegans, 397 nucleotides long. RefSeq lists it as uncharacterized. The record is from RefSeq and is a predicted model, not a curated record. The transcript has 2 exons. Lineage: Eukaryota; Metazoa; Arthropoda; Insecta; Diptera; Drosophilidae.
AAACCACUACAAUUUCUUAGGAAGAGCCAAAGUCCUUAUAUACAUAUGUGGGAGUUAUUUCCUGCCAGAGAUCCAGCAGUAAUGCAUUCUAGACCUGCGACCAGGAUUCGCUGCACUUGCUCUUGUUUUCACCAAGACAGCAGCAUCAGUAGCAGUGGCGUCAGCAGCAUUGACAUCAGGAGGAGCAGUUAGUGACGACCACGACCUGCGGCAGCCCAAGGAUCAGCAGCCACAUACGGUUGCAAGCGGAUCGCGCUUGCCAAAGGCUGCACUACAGCCGGAGCAUAUGGUUCCCUGCGGUCUCUUGAUGGUUUUUGAAGUAGCAGUUUCUUCCGUACUUUUGCCGCAUCGACCAAAAGCACGUUUUCCAUCCUGAAAUAAAUAUUUUGUAAACUUU